This 4009-nucleotide long non-coding RNA is filed under the name Ananas comosus (pineapple). Its description in RNAcentral is "long non-coding RNA (ACOM_LNC030719)". Lineage: Eukaryota; Viridiplantae; Streptophyta; Magnoliopsida; Poales; Bromeliaceae. The record is from RNAcentral.
UAAGAUCAAACAUUAACCUAGAAGCAAAAAGGGCCAAAGCUCACCUCAACAGAAGAAAUCUCUUCCAAAGCUCCAAAAGAGAGCUGGAACCCUUCCAAUCCAAGCCCAAGGAAGGUUCUAAUCCAAUCAAUCUAGCCUCAAAAGCCCUAGAUCAAAAAGCCCCAAAAAUCAACCCUAAUAUCCAAUCUAGGGUUCCAUAUACUAAAAACCCUUAAACCAAGAAAUCUUGGAGAAAGAACAAGUUGCUUACCUCUUAGAAGCUUUAAUCAAGGUUCAAAACCCUCUAAGUUCCAAGAUCUUUCCUCAACAAUGCUCCAAUUCCAAGCUCCAAGCUACCAAAAGGGAGAAGAGAGGGUGUGGGUGAAGCUCCAAGCCUUCAACAAGCUCUCUCCUUCUUCUUCUUCCUCUCCUUCUUCUUCUUCUCUCUCUAGGAGCAAAGGGAAUGGUGGAAUGAGGGAGAAGAGAAGAGGAAGUAGCCAUUUAUGACCUCUAGUGUAACAAAAUCCAAAGAGGCCCCUCAAAAAUCCAAUAUUACAACAGCCCGGACUGGGCAGUUUUCGCCCAGAGGGACCGGUCUCUCCCCAGCAGGGACUGGUCUCUCGCUGCGAACCCGGAAAACCAACGUUCGGGAACCGGUCUCUCCCCGCGCAGGACCGGUCUCUCACUGCGAAGACGCGCUCGGGGACCGGUCUCGCCUGCCAGGGACCGGUUGCCUCAGGCUGCCUCAACACUGCUCAUUGGGGGACCGGUCUCUCCUUUCAGGGACCGGUCCCCGAGAGUAAAAACUCUCAGGACCAAACCAAAACUCAGGUUUUCGAACUUUUUAGGUCGGAAAAACAUUCAACAACCCUCCACCGAGUGUGGAAAAGCUCGAAAUACAUCCAAACACUCGAACCUCGCAAUUUGCAAAGGUCCAGUGUGUUACAUCUUUGAUCUGCUCCCCUUGUCGCAUAACAGCCUCCUGCUGCCGCUGCACCAUAUCGGCUUGUUGCCUCACCACACCCACAAGUGUGGCCAACUGUUCACGAAGUUUCAAGUCUCCGCUCGCGCCGGUUUGCUUAGGGACACCACUUGUCCCCUCCCGCGCCGAUCUAGCUGAGGAUCGCCUACGCGAUGCCAUCGUUUCCUGAAACACGACAACUCGAUUAGUUCUCAACCAUCUUGGGUCGAACACGAGAAAACCAACAACGACUCAAGAGUCAAUCGGGCGAAAGUCACGCAAGGGCGUCUAUCUUCAUCACUCGGUUUCAUGUUGUAUGCAUCCAACAUGAACACCCUCGGUUGAGAAUAAACAACACCUUGAAUCUACCUCUAAUAUCCGUCUUAGAGGUUUCGACACAACCCAAUCCAUUAACCUUUUCGCCACAAGUCACAAAUCUUCAUCUCUCACGAGCCUUAACCUCUAUGGUUUCAUUAUCCUAGGGUCUCCUAGGUUCACUUAUGUCACGCCCCGAGACCGCUACCAAUUUGGCUCGGCCCCGGGCGCGUCGAACAGACGCCGAACGGACAGGACCUCCCUUGUCCGUCCAAGGCUAACCAACGGAUCAUGUAUAAGAAUUUACCCAGGAAUAAAUUCAAAAAUAUACGAUAAAAAAACACUACCAGUGCAACAAGACGAGAGCAAGAUACAAGUAUAAACACAUAUACUAGUACAUAAAGAGAGGAGAGACUAUCUAUUACAUUCAUUUGACUUGAUACAUUUAAUUACAUCUUUUACAUUCUUCCAAAAUAUAAAUACAAUCGCUCCACCUCACCCUAUACAACAUCUACUCUCAAAUAUAAAAAGGGUGACAACUAAUGCAAAAUGGAGGUAGCUAAUGCGACUAGAGCGCCGGGCCCUUACCACGAUCCUCACGCUCACCGGGGACGCCCGAACUCGAACCUGUGGUAAAAAUGGGGGUGAGAACUAACUUCCUUAGUUCCCAGUGGGUUCGGCCGCCGACUCCGCCGAUCUCCCCACUAGGUCCAAGCGGGCAAAAGUAGAUAAUCGAUAGAUAGAUAGAUAAGGAAAGCUGUAAAGACAGGAAAGUAAAGCUACACUAUUAUGCCCAAUCAUGGAUACAUGAAUGCAUGUUCAAUGAAACGGUAAGCAACUAACCUGUCGUCAUGUCAAAGGUAAAGCUAUGUACUUAUUCAUCAAUGUCAUUUACUUGUUCCUUAAUCUCGUGGCUUCCCUGAAGGAGCCUACUGCUCACUAGCCAUCUCGAAGGUAGGGAGGGUCAACUCGCACUACGAACCGAGAACGUAUGCCGAGGCCUAAAAUAGGCAAUCCCUUGGGACCCAAAAUAGGCAAUCCCACGUGACCAACAUCCGGAGCGCACUACUUGUGUGGGGCUUCCAUCACAAGAUUUAGAAACAGACCGUGAGCAUGAUCCAAUCUUCGUCUCGAGAAUACCCUAUCCUCUAGGGUUACAAUCAUCAUAUAGUCCAUAGGUUUCACAUACACUACGACUCAUAUGUGUCAUUUGUUCUUUUGCUUACUAUCAACUAAAUUGCCACUCGUCCAUUAUUUACUAUCGACUAGAUGCCACUCGUUCUUUGUUCAUUAUUAGACCGACCAUUGAGCCCAUCACUUUCUCUGCACUAUAGGAUUCACAAAUCUCGACCCAAUCCUUAUCAAUCCACUAUAUCAAGUAUCCAAUGCAUGCUACGAUAUGAUCAAGGAAAGCAUAAGGAAAGGCAAUGCACAAUCAUCCUAUAAUGCAAUAAUACAAGAUGCAGAAUCGAAAUGUACUAAGACAUAGAAGGGAGCCCGAUUGCUUCGGGAUGGGCACCACCCACCUCUUGGCGAUGCCGCGAUGGUAGAAAACUCGACGCUGCGGUCUUUGCACGCUGCUUCAACUCCUCGGGGCGAAGCGAGCCCUCGAGUACCCGAUUCAGCGAUUUCUCCACACCCGCUCGUCGGAUCGGCAAACCGUCUUCGCCGACGCGUUCCGAGACCUAGCAAUUUGGUUUACGACCUAUUAAGAUAGAUCAAAACCCUAGAUUUACCAAAAUCCUAAAUCCGUGCCCUAGAAUGGCAACGAGGGAGAAAUCCGUGGUGCGAGCUUCGAUUUCGAGCUCGAACCCUCUAUUUAUCUCCUCUAGGUUCCAUUCGAAUCAAUUCUAAGCAACAAAACCCAAUCCUAAGAAAUCUACCAUGGAUGGGUUUGGAGUUUACCUCUAAGCCAAGCUCCAAGCUUGCCCUAGCUUGAAGGAGAGAGAGAGGAAGACCUUCUUCUUCUUCUUCUUGAACUUCUCCUUCUACUUCUUCCUCUUUUCCUUCUUUUCUUUCUUCUCCUUCUUCUUCUCCUUCUUUUCUUUCUAGAGAGAGAGAGAGGGAAAGAGUGUGAAAGAGAGAGAGAAAGAGCAACUGAGAGGGGGAGAGAAGCCCCAAGCCUCUAAUAAAGGCCAUUUUGCAGAUAGCCCCCUCAACUUUUCAUCCUUCAAACCAGCCCUCUCUGGGCAUUUUCGCAGUGUGGGACCGGUCCCAGCUCGGGGAGACCGGUCCCCGAAGGCUGCCAUCUCGGGCAGAGGGGUUUUCGCGUUCGGGAACCGGUCCUUGCCUGAGAGACCGGUCCCCGGGAGACCGGUCCUAAUCCGAGAGACCGGUUCCCGAAAGUUGGAUUCUCGGGACUUAGCCAAAUUUUGGCUAUUCUCACUUUGCUGACGUUCGGGAACCGGUCCCUGCCUGCCAGGGACCGGUCUCAUCAGAGACCUCCGCAGCCCAGCCUGAUGGAACCGGUCCCUCCUUGCCAGGGACCGGUCCCCGAGAGCAUUUCUGCUNUCACCUCAAGAGAAGAAAUCUCUUCCAAAGCUCCAAAAGAGAGCUAGAACCCUUCCAAUCCAAGCCCAAGGAAGGUUCUAAUCCAAUCAAUCUAGCCUCAAAAGCCCUAGAUGAAAAAGCCCCAAAAAUCAACCCUAAUAUCCAAUCUAGGGUUCCAUCUACUAAAAAUCCUCAAAUCAAUGUCUAGAGGGAGGGAAUGAGCAACAAACCUCCUUAGAAGCUCCAAUCCAAGCUCCAAAGGUG